This 449-nucleotide ribosomal RNA is filed under the name uncultured bacterium. RNAcentral's name for it is "partial 16S ribosomal RNA". It matches the Rfam family "Bacterial small subunit ribosomal RNA", at positions 29 to 523 of the family's 1533-position model. The record is from RNAcentral.
AACGAACGCUGGCGGCAGGCUUAACACAUGCAAGUCGAACGAGAUCUUCGGAUCUAGUGGCAGACGGGUGAGGAACACGUGGGAACAUCCCUUUCAGUUCGGAAUAACGUUGGGAAACUAACGCUAAUACCGGAUACGUCCUUCGGGAGAAAGAUUUAUCGCUGAAAGAUUGGCCCGCGUCUGAUUAGCUAGUUGGUGAGGUAAUGGCUCACCAAGGCUACGAUCAGUAGCUGAUCUGAGAGGAUGAUCAGCCACAUUGGGACUGAGACACGGCCCAAACUCCUACGGGAGGCAGCAGUGGGGAAUAUUGGACAAUGGGCGCAAGCUUGAUCCAGCCAUGCCGCGUGAGUGAUGAAGGCCUUCGGGUUGUAAAGCUCUUUUAUCCGGGAAGAUAAUGACUGUACCGGAAGAAUAAGCCCCGGCAAAUUUCGUGCCAGCAGCCGCGGUAA